AACAGGCCAGAUGAAGCCUCUCCAGACAAGCCUGUUAGCCAAUGGAACAUCAAUGAUGAUCUCCUUCAUUGUUGGCUUCUUCUCAUCUCUUAUUGCAAUCAAGUAGCUCCUUCCUACCCACCCAAUCCAUCCAGCAAUGUACAAGAAGAGGAUCCCAGGAGUGAUGAACUCACCCCAAUGCCUCUGGUCUCCACUCACUAUCAGGUGUGGCAGUCCAUCCGAUCCACACAAUAGUCCCUGUUUCGCGUAGUUGUCAAAUCUGCAAUGACAAUAGUUGAGUGAAUUUGUGUAAGUGAAAUAAAACUAGUUAUGUGACUUCUCCGUUACAAAAUAAAGUUGAGUGACUUUAUCAAGAUAAUUUCCGUUAGUUGAGUAAUUUCAAAGGAGUUUUGUCCUUCACUGGUGAGGGACAGCGAGACAGUUGUGCUUAUAUACAGAAGCACUUCUUCUAGCUCUUAAAGAAUUGAGAAGAGAGUCUUCCCGGCGCCAUCGUUGUCCCUCAGCUGGCUUGGGCUUGAAUUUGAAUUUAUGAUGUGAUUGACUGAUAUAUUUUUGGAUCAAAUUUAUUUAGUUAAUAUUUAUAUUUCAGUAACAUUUUUGUAAUUAAUUCCCAUGUUAUUGUUUUGUCGUAGCCAUAUUUUUCGUAAACAACCAUUUUCGCAAAGAACCACCAGGAAGAGUUGCAUCUCUUCGUUUGAGACUAGACUUCUGCUUAUAUAUAUCUGUCCUUUAAUUCAGAUUUUUACUUACGAUUUUUUUUUUAAAUAUUUCUCGCAUAUUACUUUCUGCUCUGCGAAGUAAAUUUGAAGUGUGAUUCAACUGUUCUUAAUGUUCGUUGAACACCGGUGUUUGAAGUAUCUUUGCACAAGUGACAGUAAUCUGCCCUAUCUUGGGAGGAAAUAAUCUUAUACCUCAGGUAUUAGGAACACUAUGAAUUUCAGGAGGCUCGAAUUAGUUUCAGCUUUCAUCUCAUGUAUAUUUUGUCAAGUCUUAGUUUCCAGGAUUUAUUUGGUUACUAACAGUAUUUGUGUUACUAAACAAAAUUCGAAUGAUCAUAUGCGAAAUUAACUCUAUGAUAAGGAAUUACAUAGAUGGAUUAAAUAAAAAAUGAUUACUAGGGGAAAAUGGAAGGUGAGACAAACCUGCGCUUAGUUUUCUCAAUAGUAGCAUUAAUAGCAAGUGCAGGAGCACUAUCAGGUGCAUAUAGCUUCAAAGAAUUCUCAAGCUUCUUGAUCUGUUGCUUCUCCCUCUUAGCAAACUGCUUUGACUCCUUGCAAGGUGUGAGUCCAGAGAUGUCAGCAGAAGCUGGAAGCACUGGUGCUGACAACAGAAUUGAAGACAAAGCAAGUGCUGCUGAGAAUACCUUUAAUGAGGAAGAUGUUUCAUCUGUUUUAGUAGAAGCAGGAGUUUGGUUUGAAGAGCAGACUAUUGUUGAAGUUCUUGGUUUUGUGGUAAACUGAGAACUAAACUUAGAUGAUGUUGAAAUGGGUUUUGAAAGGUUUGCAGGAAUUGUGAGAGACAUGGUGUUUUCUCCUCUCUCUUUUUAUGGUAUUAUUUUCAAGAAAAAAAGAGAGGAAGGAGGAGUGGAUUGGAGUGUGGAGAGUGAAAGGAUGUUUUUUUAGGAUAUUUGGAAGAAAGGAUUGGUAUUGAAGAGAGAGGAUAAAGGAGUUGAAGGGGAGCUUAGGUGGAGGGAUUUGAUUGGCUAAUUGAGUUGGAUUUUGUGAGAUUGGUGGAUUUUGCUGAAACUUUAUCUAUCUGUGAAAGAGCAAGAACCAGGGAUGUAACAGAUACAGAUACGCCUCCUUCGGAGCCAUAUUAUCCCUUGGAAUAGCUAGUAAGUUGCUGCCCACGUAAUCAGGAGGUCAUAAGUUCAAGUUUUGAAAACAGUUUCUAAUAAAAAUACAAGGUACGACUGCAUACGAUACACCCUUGUGGUGGGGCCCUUCCCUGGAUACCGCGCAUAGUGGUAAUUUUAGUACACUGGACUGUCCUUUAUUGGCAAAAUGGCUAAAUGGAUCCUUGUACUAUGUUCGUUUUGUAAUGUGAACACUUCUACUUACAUGUUUGUCAUCUGAAUCGUUGAAUUAAUUAAAAAGUAAUAUUUUAAGCCCUUUAUCGGUCUACUCCUUUGAACGUGUUGCACAAUCACGAACAUGUCAUCAAAUAUUUGAAAAUAAUUUUCACAUAUGAAAUAACGUGUCCAAGGUAUAAAUAGAAAAGUAAGUCCGAAAAAUUAAGUCAUUUUAGACCCUUCUUCUUCGUCUCUUUCAUCCAAAGUUUAAAAUUUCCCCUAUUUUAACUUAAUUUAGGUAGAUUGUUGUUGGUGGUUGUUGCAAUCCGUGUAAGUAUUUAAUAUUUUGUGGUAACUGUAGUAUUUCGUAGUUUAUUUCAGGCUCUUUUGUCGAUGUAAUGAAGUCCGUUUUAGUAAUUUUAGGAUUUUCGCCAUUAUGAACUUUUUUUUCAAUUUUUUGGGUGGUUUUGCUCUAUUUUAUAUCUAGUGUUGUUGUAGGUAGUAUGUGUAGUGGUGAUAUGCCUUCAAUGACAUAUUUUGAAAUUUUGAUCAAAAUUUAGAGUUUUUUCGUAAAAUGGUAAUUGGGUUCGAAAAUUUUUGAGCUUUUAAUUUUUUUUUUGUUGUCUAAUGCUCCUAUUAUACCUAUAUAUUACAGUUUUGUGCCUUCAAUGGUGUAUUUUAUUAUUUCGAUUACAUUUUAAAUUUUUUUUGGUAAAUUUAAAAUUAGGUUCGAAAAUUUUGGGGCUUGUGAAUUUUUUGUUGUUUAAUGCUCCAAUUAGAUGUGUGUAUAACAGUUUUGUACCUUCAAUAGCAUGUUUUGUUAUUUCGAUUACAUUUUAAAGUUUUUUUUUUUUGAUAAAAUCAGAAUUGGGUUUCUUAUUCCUUUAUUUUUUCUUUAAAAAUUAGGUCUUUAUGGAUAAUUAACUAAUUAUAUAUAUUAUCUUGUCAUUGUACAGAUUUUCUAAGUAAAUGGACACAAUUGUAACAAUUCAAUUCACCUAUAGGGGGGUCUUUUUGUCAGACCCUGAUCUAAGGUAUGCAAAUGAAGUUUGUAUUCUUGAAAAAAUUAGAGUAGAUGUAGAUGAGCUUCAUAUUAUGUUAUUUCAUAACUUAGCAAUAGAUUUAGAUAUGGAAAAAAAUAAAACUUUUUGAUGUAGAGUAAAUAAAAAGGGUUAUUAUUAUAUGUUAGAUAGUGAUGCUGAUGUUUUAAGAUUUAUCAAUAGUUUAAAAGUUGGAGAUUUUGUUAAUAUAUAUGUUGUUCACCAUAUUAGUGAACUUAUAGUUGUUAAUGAAGAUGUGACAGCUACUCCAUCAUUAUUACUACUUAGCAAUAGUAAUGUGGCAGCCCCUUUUAAAACUGAUAAGGUUGUGUGUCUUCAUCUCAUCCGUUGAAUAUAAAUGAAGAUGAGUAUAUAAAUGAAAAUCAGCCUCCUAAGGCAGACAAAGGAAAAGCUAAGGUUUCUUUAGAAGACUUAGGGGAAAGUCAAGUUAAUGAUUUCUCCACAUACCACCUUCAAACAUCUGAUUCUGAAUUAAAUUUUCAGACCACUGAUUCUGAUGUUGAUUCACUUUAUGAUAUUAAUGAAAAUAUUGAAGAGGAGUGAUUUUGACAAAGAGUUGCUUUAAGUUAGGAAGUCUAACAUUGAAAAACAAGCAAAAGAAAAGGCUGAUAGGGUAAAUCUAGAUGAGAUACCAUCUGAACUAGUAGGUAUAAAUGCUGGUUUUGAGGAAAUUUGUAAGAACAAGGGGGUUAGAUAUGAAAGUAAACUGGGUAGGGAUGACCCUUAUUUUGGUAGUUUAAAUUCGAAUAGUAACAUUAGUGAAGAGGAAGGAGAUCAUGUUGAUGAUGAUGAACUGGUAGAUCCACUACCUAGAACUUCAUCUAGCAAGAUCUACUUUGAUGAAACUGCAAAGAAGAUAUAUUUUUAGUUGUACAUGAUUUUUUGAAUGCUGUUGAAUUUAGAGAGGUACUGCAGACUUUAUUCAAAAAAAUGUGAACCUUAAAUUAAAACCUAAUAAAAAGAAAAGAGUAAAGGCAAAGUGUAAGCAUAAGGAUUGUUCUUGGGUUAUUCUUGAAAGUGUUGAUAACACAAAAAAUUUUAGUGUGAAAACAUACUUUCUUAUCCACAAAUGUUCUAAAAAGACAAAAAAUGAGAUGUGAGUGAUUCAUCAAUAAAAUUGCAUCAGAUUCAAACACUUUUAAGAAAGGACUAUGGAUUGUAUGUUAGUAAAACAACCCGUAGAAAAUCAAAAAUUAAAAUUAUGAAUGAAUAUUUUGAUGAUUUUGUUGAAGAGUUUGCUAGGUUGUAUGACUAUGCUGAAUAGUUAGGAUCACCAAUCCUGAUACCACUGUAUCUACUAGAACAUCCAAGAAUUCAAUUCCAAGGUGGUUAUAGGCAUUUAUAUUUGUCUUGGGGCCUUAAAAAGUGGAUGAAAAGAGGGUUCUAGAAGAAUAAUUGAUUUAGAUGGUGCCUUUCUCGAGGGUGUAUAUAAAGGUAUCUUGUUGUCUUGUAUUUUCAAAGAUAAAAAUAAUCACAUGCAUCCUGUAGCAUGGGCAGUGGUUGAUAAAGAAACCAAGGACAUAUGGUCUUGAUUUCUUAGGUACAUCAACCAUAAUUUGAAACUUCGAGAAAAUGGGGGUAAAGGCUUGACAUUAAUAUCUGAUAUGCAGAAGGUAUGAAGUGUCAUAUUUUUUUUAGUUAUUUUUUCAAUUUGCUUAGUGAUGUCAUGAAUGUUUAACUACUGUUUUACAUGUUUUGAUAGGGUCUUCAUUUGGCACUUACUAAGCUACUGUCAAAUGCUGAGCAUAGAUGUGCUAGACAUAUAUGGGCAGACUGAAAGCAGGUUUGGAGAGGUGAAAAAAGAAGGAAAAAAUUCUAGCAGGUUGCAAGGGCUCGAUUUAAAGUGUAUUUACAACAAAAAACUUAAUAAAAUGAGUGAGUUAGAUGUUGAAAUUGUGAAAUACUUGCUCAAAUACAACAAAGAGGCAUGGUGUAGGAUUUUUUUUUAAAGAAUAUAGCAGGUGUGAUGUGGUUGAGAACAACAUGUAUGAAACUUUCAAUAGUUAAAUUUUAGCUGCUAGGUUCAAAACAAUUAUCACUAUGUUGGAGAAAAUAAAAUGCAAAGUCAUGGAAAGAAUGAAUCAAAUGAGAAAUUUUUAGAAAAAUGAAUCAGUGAUGUAUCACCAAUGGAUAUGAAAGUUCUUGUAGAGAAUAAUAUGCAAUCAAGUGUGAGGUAAGGUUUAAUGGUGAUAUAGGCUUUGAGAUUGGUGAUCCACCAUAAACACAUGUUGUUAAUGUGAAGAGGAAGGAAUGUAGUUGUAGGUCAUGGCAACUAAAGAAAAUUCCUUGUGCACAUGCAAUUGUUUCAAUGCAUUACAAGGGAUAGAAUGUGGAGUCAUUUGAUAAGCACUGGUAUCAAUGAAAAACAUACUUGAAGGCAUAUGAUAAGUAUAUUCAACCAAUGACAAAUAUAAAGAUGUAGCUAAGAAGCACAAGACCACUAAUUGAGUCACCUGAGAUUACUGCCAUGCCACGAAGGUCAAGUAAAAAUAGAAAGAAAGCUAAGGAUGAGUCUAUUAAGAAAAAGUUUAGGAAGGCUACAAAAAAAGAAAGAAAAAUGACAUGUUUUGUGUGCAAGUCUAUUGGAGACAACAAGAAAGGAUGUCCAAUUUUGGUAACCUAAAACUUUUCUUAUUGAUGAAUUUUACUCUUUUUGAAUGUGUUUUUGAUCUUUAAAUAUUUUUUUGUAGAAAAAAGAUUUCAGUAGUAGCUGUGGCAGUCAACCAAGUGUGCAAGCUGGUGCUAGUACUGUUGCUGCUGAGAGACCUGCAAAUGCUUCAGCAGCUGAAGACAUGCCUGCAAAUGCUAAACCAAGAAACAGAAGGCCUGCAGGAAGGCCAACAAAUGCUCACCGUGUACCAAGAGCUGCAGAAAGGCCUGCAAAUGUUGCAUCAGUUGGUGGUGUGAGGCCUGCAAGUGCCUUAACAACUGAUAUAAGGCCUGCAACUGUUGUGAUUCCUGCAACCACUUCACCAGUAGAUGAUAAUACUACACAAUCUACAACUCAGUAGUCUACUAGUGGUGUUGGUGUCCAAAAGAGGAGGACUAGUACAACUUUGAGAGGUGGUGCAAAUCUUGCAUAUAAAAGAUCAAGGCAAAACAAAAUUAAUUUUGUUGUGCUGUUUGGACUAAGUGGCAACGUAGUGGAGAGGGUAAAUUUUCUAUCAUGUAAUUUUCAUUUAACUGGUAUUAAUUAGUGUAUCUAUAACUGAUUUUUUUUAUUUUUACAGUUUGAAAAUACUGAUAGAGUGUUACAUAAUCCAACACUUAUUAGUUCAGUUCCAAUCAAUAUUGACUUGGGUUUCAAACCAAAUAGACUGAGGCGGAAAGGUGGAGCUGCAGUAACUCAAAGACAACUACAAGAACAGAGUUACAACAGAUAAAACACAAAAUCAUCUACAACCACUCAAGCCACAUCAAGCACUCAAGCCAGCAAGAAUCAGGCCACAACAAGCACUCAAGGAACACAUUAGUGUAAUUCUCUUUUUGUAUUGAUCCCAAGUGUUGUUAAGAUAAUUUUUUAAGACUUCUGAUGCAUUUCUCAUUAAAGAUGUUGUUAAGACAAGUUUUUUCAUUUCAACUCUUGCUAACACAUUAUAUAUUGAAGAUUUCUAAGUUGGCAAAAUGGUGUUUGUCAUUAAAUUUGAAUUUCAUUUUCAUUGUACAUUGCAACUACAAAAAUUAAGUCAUCUUAAAUAUAAUAGAUAGAAAUCAGAUGACAACAAUAAUAAUAGUGAUAUCAAUGCUAGUGCUUGAUCUUUCAUGUCUUUCAUACCUUUCAUAUCUUUCCAGUCCUUCUUGUCUUCGUUGCCUUCUAUGUCUGCCUUUAUAUUAUUUAUUUUCAUCAGCACAUCAAAAGAAUCCACAAUCAUUAGCAACUUCAUAUUUUUGACAGCUCCAAAAUAUUUUUUCGGGGUUGAUUGGUAUUCUUGAAUCUUAAUUUCAGCGUAAAGCCCACAAUAACAUACCCGAACUGUCAUGGUGUUGUGAAAAAUUACAUAAGAUAUUAACAUUCCAAUAUUACAAACAGAACAGGAAAAAAAAUUAAGAAACAAGAACUUAGAGAGAGAAAAAUGGAGAAGAAGGGAGAAAAAAAAGCUCAAAUUGCUUCAAUAAUGAUGUUGGAAGCAUAUGAGGAAGAAGUAGCAUUUAUAAGGACUUUAUGACUGUUGGGGGACUUUUUUCGAUGGCUUACGUGCGCUUGAAGGCUAAACUAUUUGCUCCUAUGUGAUUCCAGCCACAUUGGAUGCCACAUCAAAAAAAAGUAUUUAAAAUGUUCAUUUUUAGUGGGUUCAAGGAUUCAGAUGAUAAACAUGUAAGUAGAAGUGUCUACAUUACAAAACAGACAUAGUACAAGGGUCCAUUGAAUUAUUUUGCCUUUUAUAUUUCAAUCUUUCUUUCUCACUUAUAUUUUUAGCUCUUAUCUUAAGGGGUGUUUAGCCAUAAAAGUUUUAAUAUUUUUAGAAAGAUCAUGUAAGAGUAAAAAAUAAUAUUUAAAAAUUAAAAUUGUGUUUUGAUCAUAAAUAUAAAUUGGAGGCGUUUUUGAAUUACUUUUCAAAUUUCAAUUUUUUGAAAAGUAUUAUCACAAGAUCAUAUACAAAAAAAUUGAUUUUCACUAAGAGAGUUAAAAAAAUUGUAUUGCUUGAGAUUUGAAUUUAGAAUUUAAAGUGAAUUUUGAAUUUUCUAAACUAUUGAUCCUACUCUAAUUUAUUGUUUAGGGUAUUGAAAAAAAAAAACUAUAUAGCUAGACAUUAAUUCUGCUAAUAUAUGCAGUAACGAGAUGAGCCUCGCCAUAGUACCAAAUUUAUAUGAAUUUAUUUAUGAUUAAUUAGGAGUUGUUAGAUUAAAAAAGUGAACAAAAAUGAAAGAGUUGAAAAAAAAAAGAGAAAUAUGAAAAAAAGAGUGGCUAGCCAAGAUUUUGUAGUUAUAUAGUUUUCUUUAAACAGUCUAUAGCAUCAAUGAUUUAGGAAAUUUAAAAUUCACUUUAAAGUUCUAUAUUUAAUCUCAAGUAUUUUUUUUUUUUUGAUUAUGAGUAGCAUCAAUGAUUUAGGAAAUUUAAAAUUCACUUUAAAGUUCUAUAUUUAAUCUCAAGUAUAUUUUUUUUUUGAACUCUUUUAGGAGUCGUUUGGUACACUGAAUGUGAUAAAUAAGAAUAUCUAAGGUGGGAUAUUUCAUAAGAUUAUUUUAUUCAUCUCUCUCCGUGGGACAGUAAUCUCAUUAUCUUAAUAUAAAUGGUGGAAUAAAAUAAUUUUGAAAUUAAGUAAUACCUUAUAUCAAAUAUGGGAUAAAGUUAAUUCUAAAUUUUAUCCCAAAAUUAUUUUUUAUCCCUUCUACCAAACGAUUCCUUAGUGAAAAUCCACAAUCUUUUCAUAUCUGGGUUUGUGAAAAUAUUUCAGAUAAAUUAAAAUUUAAAAAAUAGCAAAAAUUAUUUCUAAUCUAAGUUAUUCCUAAAAACUCAAAAACACUUGCAAUUCGUAUUUAUGAUCAGACAUAACUUUAAUUUUUAAAUAAUAUUUUUUACUUUUAAAUAAUUUUUAAAAAAUAUUUACACUUUUCAUGACUAAACACUCCUUAAAAUAAAAACUAAAAUUUGAGUGGGGAAGAUAGAAAUAUAAAAUAAGGAGGCAAUAUUCAAAAAAAAAAAAAACAGGAAACAGAAGGAAAUGUGAGGAAAUAUUGGGAGAGGAACAUUUGCUAAUACAAUGGACCCCACAAGAACAUAUGUCAAAAGCAAAAAGACCCUUACAUAACUAUUGUUGGGUGAGCCUCACCCAUUUUAUAAUUUUCCAUCACCGAAACUACAGAUCAUAUGCUACUGUCAUUUGCACUUUUUCCCUUGAAAUAAAUAAUAUUUUAUAAGUUUAUAAUCAUUUUAUAAUAAUAUUUCAUGAGUUAUGGUCCUCUCCUAUAAGGUAGUUGUCCCAGUAGAUAUAAUUUCAAUUGCGAAAACUCAAAAUUCGAUGGGCGAAUUGCAAUUAAAUGACCUAAUUUGUCAUGUCAUUUGAGGACAAAAUGUUUGCAUGGAUUGUUCUUGUUUUAAAGUGGUUUUCAAUUUUUGCAAUCAAAAUAAUAUAGUUGAAUUUGUUUAAGUGUUUUAAGGGCACGCGAGUUAGAUUGAUUAUAAAAAUGAAAUAACAAUGAAAUGAAUCACAGCAACAAGAUGUAAUGAAUACAAAGCAAGAAAAUAAUUAAAUUAGAUCCUAAAAUUGGGCCUAGGUGGCUUUGGUAUUCUCUGUCCGAAAGCUGAUGAAUUGAGAAACUGAGAGCCUUUUCUUAAGAAGAGAAAGUAUGUAUGAACAAGUGUGUCUUGUAAAAACUUUCAGAGCCUCGAAUGUUUGAUUCCUAAGUGUGUCACUGUCUUCCAGUUGAGCAGUAGCACUUUGGUUGUCGGGUUGGAAAGAUUAUCUUAUCAUCAUUACUAGUUACUGUUUCUGUAUCAAGAUUCUACCUUUCUGAAGUUAGACAGGCCAUGUUAGUAAGGCCGGUACCAAUGUCGAGUAUUAUAGGAUCCCUCCAAAAUUGGACAUCACUCCGAGCUCGGUCUUUUGGAAGGGUUCUUCUGGUGCUCCCCAAUAGUCCCUUCAUAGUCAGACGCAUGUAUCACAUCUUUCAUGUCUUUUUUUUUUGCAACAAAUGUGAAUAUUAACAUCAACAAAACAGUCAUAUAAAAAUAAUUUUUUUUUAAUUUGAGUCUCAUAUGUCAUGUAAUAGUUGUAUGAGGUCUUUAAUAUUUGACGAAAUACAUAUACAGGCCCUUGAAAUAUUUCACUUUUCCCGUUUAGACACCUAAAUUAAGAAAGGUACCUAUUGAACCCUUUACUCCUUCAGAAAUGGUUUCAAUUGAGCCCAAUUCUCCGAUGUGGCAGUUUGCGUGUACUCACAUCUGGGAGGCGCGUGAAAUGUCAUGGAACCAGCUUAUGUGGCACCCAACGGAUCUUUUAUCCUCUUUUUAUACCCAAUUUCUUAAAAAAAAAAAACCCUAAUUCCCACUUUCUUCCUCUUUUUAUACUCAAUUCUUAAUAUCCACCAUUUUUGUCUCCUAAAUUCUCCUUCUCCUCUUAAAUUUCUUUUCAGCCUUUUCUCUUGCUUCGCUUAAACUCUCCUACUCUUAUUAAUUUCUUCUUCUUACUCGUUUUUAGUAGUAAUAUCCAAUUCAUCUUUUUCAUUGUCUUCAUCUUCUUUAAUUCCAAAAGGAGUAUGUUUAUGUGGGGUGAAAGCUGAAAUUAAGACCUCGUGGACACAACUCAACACUAGUGGGAGAUUCUUUUACUGCAAAACUUCAAAGGUAUUCAUCUUUUGCUGCUUCAUUGGACGAAAUGCAAUUACUUCGAUUAGUGGAUGCAAUUUUUUAAUUUAAUUUUUUCUUUAAACCUGUAGGCGAGAGGUGGAUGCAAUUACUUUGAUUGGUAUGAUGAUGAAAUGCCCCCUCAAGCAAAGAGGGUGAUGUGGGGUUUAUUAAAAAAAUUCAAAUCAUUUGAAGAAGAGAGGAAUCGAUCAAGAAAAUUUAAAGUGAUAUGCGUUGGGGCGAUUGUGAUUUUGGCUACAUGGAAUUUCUUCAAGAAAUGUUCUUAGAUUUUGACAAAUAUUGGCUUAGGUUUCUUAUAUAUAGGACUGUUUUGAUUUGGAUAAUUCUGAAAUAUAUUAGUUGUAUUGGGACUGUUUUGCUUUGGCUUUCUUGUUGUAGUGGGAUUGUUGUGUAUGAAACAAUUAAGAAGGAAUGAAGAUAAGUUGUGAAAUGUUACUCUCUUACUAUGUUUUGAUUUUUCUUUACUUUUGUAAUUGGUUUAGUUAGAUUAUUGUACUCUAUUUUUUUAGAGUUCAAAUAAUUCAUUUAAAUGAUUCAAAGCUGUCAAAUGUUUAACACAAAAGGAACUACCAUUCAAUAAUUAUAUAAAGCACAAGUGCAACUGAUCGACAUUUUAAACACAAUAAUCUACCAUUCAACUGCUCAAAAUGAGCUCCAACCAUACAUCAAGUGUUCAUCCAAAACUAAUCUAAACAAACCACAAAAAAUAGUUCAGAAUCUUUAAAAAUCCCAACAAAAUACCAAAGUAGCCAUACAACUAAUAACCAAACUAUACAUUGUGCUAAAAACACAAUUAAUUCAACAACUUCAGAUUCCUCCUGGUGCACUAGAACUUUCAAGUUGGCUUCUUUUUUUACUGACUCAUACUCUGCAAUUGAGAAGUUGUGACGACAUUCUUUUCCUUCCACUUCAUUCCUCGAGGCUUAUAACCAAUAUCAAUAUUUGUUUGAGUUACAUCUUUGUAAACACCCAGAGUGACAACUGUUUCACUUCUAGUUCCAGGUUGUAUAAAAUGAAGUAAAAUUAGAUUUGUCAAAAGAUAAUUAAAAAUUACAUGAAUUGAAGUUGUAAUUCACACUUACAUUUAAUGUUUUACUGCAACUCAUUUGAUCAGUGUAGAUACCAAAUCCUACUGUCUUAGACCUCUUUUGUCCUACUGAUGAUGUUGAUGCUCCAAUGGUCAUUUUUUCCUUAAGUUGCUGAUCAGAUACACUUUCUUUUCCUCUACUUCUGCCAGUGCCUCUUCCAGAUCCUUUGCCUUUGCCAGCUCUCCUACCUUUGUCAGUAUCUCUACCUCUACCUCUACCUCUACCUCUUCCAGCUGGCUGCACUCUUAUAACUGCUGAGGUAUCAACACACAUAGAACUGCUGAAGCUUGGUUGCUGGCUGAAGCUUGGUGGCCUGCUAGAGCUUGGUGGCCUGCUAGAUCUUGGUGGCUAGAUGAAGCUUGGUGGUUAGCUAAAGAUUGGUGGCCUGCUAAAGCUUGGUGUCUUGCUAGAGCUUGGUGGCUGUCUGAAGCUUGGUGGCUGCUAGAGCUUGGUGGCAUGCUAGAGCUUGGUGGUUGGGUAGAGCUUGGUGGCCUGCUAGAGCUUGGUGUCCUACUAGAUCUUGGUGGUUGACUGAAGCUUGGUGGCCUGCUAGAGCUUAGUGGCUGGCUAAAGCUUGGUGGCCUGCUAGAACUUGCUGCGUGGCUAGAGCUUCCAGGUUGUCCCAUUCCAUCUUAACAAUAAAGGAUAUUAAAUAUAUAUUAUAAAUAUCAGAAUUUAAUUAUUGAAUUAAAAGAUAUGAGUGCAUUACCUGAGCUUUACAGAGAGUUCUGCUAUGACCAAUUUGAUGACAUUUGGAGCAAGAAAUUUUCAGUCCUUUCCAGGAUAGCUUCCCAUAUUUCUUCUUAGGCUCAUUCUUCCUUUUUUUCUAUUCUUUCCUGGUCUGCUAGGCAUUCGUCUAGGCUCAUGAGGAUCAAUCACUACACCACUUGUGUUAGGCUACAUUUCCAUAUUAGAUAUUGGCUGAAGAAAGUAGUCAUAAGCCUUCAAGAAUGUAUCUUUCUUAUACCACUCUUCCACAUAAAAUUCAGGCUCUAUACCUUUAUGCUGAUAAGCCAAUACAGCAUGUUGACAUAGUAUGCCUCUCAAUUUCCAGCUUCUGCAAGUGCAAGUCCUUGUCCUAAUAUUAACUAUAUGCCUAUAAGGACCAUCUAAAAUUCCAUACCCAAUCUGUCCAUUGAACCUCACUGUGCAAUUUCUAGCCAUAUCUUUAUUUUCUUCAAGUACUAGCAAAGCCAUAAGAGAGAUGUCUGAAAUGCAGGUAUUAACAAACUUCCUCAUUUCAACAUUUCUAUCCAUUAUCUUAUGUCUAAUCUCCUCUAACAUACAGAUUAUAGAUUUAUGUCUAACAGCUAAAAUUCAUGAAUUAAAAGUCUCACACAUAUUAUUCUCAACAAUGUCACAUUUAGAAUACUCCCUAAAAUAUGCCCUGCACCAUGAUUUUUUUCAUAAUGUAAUAAGUCCUCACAAAUAUCCUUACCAAGUUGACUGAGUUUGCCCAUCUCAUCCAAAAACUUCACUUCAAAACUGGAUUUAGCACACCUCUAAAAUUAUUUUCUUCUUUCUUCUCCUCUCCAGAUCUGAUGUCAAUUGGACCAGAUGUAUCUUGCACACCACCUCAUUUCACAAUCUGGUAACAACUCAAGUAUAGUAGGUACAAGACCUUACAUCAGUAUAAAUACAAAAUAAAAACACAAAAUAUAUGAACAUGGAAUGUAUAGUAAAUAAAUAGAAGACAUCAAAAUUAAAUUUUAAAAAGUAGACUAACCUUUUGCAUAUCUGACAUGACAGACAGAUCAUGUUCAAUGCCUAAGUUCAAAUCUUGAAUCAAGUGGUUAAUGAAGAAACUCCAGCUAUUUUGUCUUUUGAUCAACCACUGCUCAGGCUAUUGGAUACAUUUGAUUAUUUCCAUUUCUCCCAACUGCAACUAACAAUUCACCCUUGCAAGAACCUUUCAAAAAACAACCAUCUAACCCAAUAAUUUUUCUGCACCCUGCCAGCCAGCCUCUCUUUAAUGCAUCAAAGCACAAAUAAAAAUAAAUAAAUAGAUUUUUUCCAAGUUGAGACUCUCUAUCUAUCCUCACCCAACAAGAACUGUCAGGAUUAAUAUGUUUUAUCAUGUCUGCAUAGUCACACAACCUUGAAAAUUCCAUCUUCCAAUCACCCAAGAAUUCUUUAAUGAUUCUAUGCUUUGCCUUGCUACAAAUAGUUUUUUCCACAUACAAACCCAAUUUUUUUCUCACCAAUUCCUGAAUUUCCCACAGUUUUAUAUAAGGUUGUAAAGUUAUUUCAUCUUUGAACUUACUUACAAUAAAUUUAGAUGUGCACAAUUUAUUUUUAUAGUAGUAGUGCAUACAUGUACAGGAUAGUAGUGCUUGACAACAGAGUCACCAGAAUGCUUAUCAAUACUAGCAAACAACAACCAUUUACAUUUCUUGCCCUUACACCUAACUCUAACUCUAUGUUUCUCAUUAGGCUUAAGCUUCAAUCUAACUUUGUAUUCAACAGCAUACUCAACCACAACCUUUCUAAAUUGCUUAGCAUUUUCAAAUAUCAUACCAAGCUCAAAUAUAGCCACAACACAAUCAGAAUCAAAUCUUACUUUUUUUACUUUUCCUUUUUGCUGAUAAAUCAACACCCCUGACAGUUUCAGGUUCCAGUCCAUCAGCACUAUCAUCACUAUCAACUUCAAAGCUAUCUAUAUACUUAUCAUCUCCCCCUAAUCUUCUACUGUAUCUAGCAGUCUUAUUCCUUCCAAUAUCUUCAAAUCCCCUAUCAACACCUGCUGAUCCAAGUUUUAUUUUUUCAUUUUGGACAGAUUUCUUUUGUUUCACACAGUUUCUCCUUUCAUUUCUAAGAGUUCUUAACUCUUCAUCAUCCUCAGAAUCGUCAUCUUCUGGUAUAUUAAACUCUUGAGAAUCAACACUACUAUCAAGAUCUAUUUCAGCCCCUUCUAGAUCUGAGAGUUCAUCUGCACCAGAUUCUAUAUCUAUGUUGUCAGUUUGGGUAGGUUCCUCAUGUAACCCUUCAACAUUAAUAUCAUGAACUGUUGAUAUGUUCUUACCCACAUUACUAUUUUCACCAACCACAUUACUACUUUGAUCACCUACUGUACCACAAAGAAAACCAGAUGGGACCUCAUCUUCUACCACUUCUACCUCAUCCACAACAUGGUUCAUAUACAAGUCUAAAAAGUCCCCAUCUUCUAGGUCUUCAACAAGACUUACCAAAGUCAAGUCAUUUUCUACUUCAAUAAAGACUUUCUUUUUAGGGUCUUUAAAGUAGAACCCACCAACAGUCAUAUACCCAAAUUCUUUAGUAUAAUAAAACAACUUGAAUAUAGAAAAGUGGUCUUUGUUCGUACUUACAUAUUCCACCUCACUUUCUCCUAUGUAGUGUGGACCAUAUUCUUCAUCAGAAACAAACUUGCCACCAUGGUGAAAAUGAGUUGUAAUAAUAAUAUUAGCCAUUAGAUUCCUGAAACAAAAUUCCAAAAAUACCUGACAAGUUAUGAAUAGUAAAAACCCUAAAAAAAUCCUAGCUUUUUUCGGAUAUUCCCAAACUACAAUUACUAACGUAAUAUACUAACAAAGAACUAAUAAAUCAUUUACAACAACAAGACAUGACAAAAAUGUGACAAUAUUGACAUUUGCAACAUACCUGAGUGCGAUUCAAACACAAAACAAUAACAAUUUUUUAGAUCCAACUCCAGAUUCUUUGCAACCAAUAAAGAAAUGUUGAAAUCAGUGUCAAACUUGAACUAAUCACUCAAAAACACUAUGUAACUUUUUAUUAUACAACAAACGAAGCAUAAAUUAGUAGUAUUAGGAGUGAAAUCGCAAUUUUAGGGUUUCUGAUAGAUUUAGGGAUGUGUAUGAGGGAUUUGACGUUAUAAGGAGGGAAACGAAGUAGAAAUUAUCUUUAUGUAUUAAUUAAAAAAAAGGUGGGGUGUAAAAUAUAAUUGGUUAUAAUUGGUCAAAAUCUACACGUAGACGAUGACUACAUACACGCACUUAACACGUUAAAAAAGAAGGCUUUAAAAAGGUGUCAUGUCGGACAAUUGAGCUCAGUUGAAACCAUUUAUGAAGGGGUAAAGGGUUCAAUAGGUAUCCGUCUUAGUUGAGGUGUCUAUACGGAAAAAGUGAAAUAGUUAAGGAAUCUCUCUAUAUAUAUAGCCUUAAUAUUUUGACAAAUUAACCUUUUGGGUCCCACCUUUCGGAGAAUUCUUUCUUAUUUUUUCCUCUUCAUUUUCUUUUCUGUCUCAUUGUCAUUUAACUUUUUUUUCUUCAACAAAUAAUGUUUUGUGCUUUUGCUCUUUCUUUUUGGGUUAUUUUUUACUUAUGGUUUUCUUUAUUUUUCUUCAUUUACCCUAUUUCUUUCCAAUUUUUUUUAGUACUCUUGAUACAAGUAAAUUGAAGGUUUUUCUUUUUCCUUUAAUUUUUUAUUUGUCAAUAUUUAUAUGCAAAUUAAAUGAUACUUACUUUUUUAUUUAUUUUUUUAGUUUAUUUUAAAAAUAUUAUUUCUUUGAUUUUUAGAUAGUAAGGUAAUAUUGUUUCCAUUAGUUAGUGUCUAGUUAGAUUUUGUAAUUAUUUUAAUCCGAAAUAUAAUUUUUGAUAUAUAUUUAAUGAUGUGACAGUUCCUAAAUUUCCAAGAAAAGUUAUUUUAAAAAUUAAAAUCAAUAGUUAGAUUUAUUUAGGACCAACUCAUUCUAAAUUCAAUUCAAUUCUUGAAAGACCGCCUGGAAAUAAUUUUUCUAUAUAGAAAAUUAUCUUAAUGAUUAAAAAAAAAGAUGAUUGCUCUUCCAUUUUUAACAUGCUAAGUAUUAUACAUGUCCUAAUAACAUUGAACCAUGAUAAAUAAUAUUAUAUAAAUUCAAUUAUAAAAAACAGAUUUAUCACUUAUCAAAUUUAAUUUUAAAUUUUCGAUAUUCAAAUUUUUCAACACCAACAAAAAGAGAGUAUAAUAAAAAAUAGAAAUUAUUGUCAUGAUUGAAUGGCCAAAAUUUUAUUUUCUUUUUUUUAACAAAUAUGAACAAAUAAUAGUUGGGAUGAAAAAAAAGAUUCAUUCUACUUAGUACCGAAACAGGAGGAAGAAAAAUCAAUUUGUGAAAAAAGACAAAGAAAGAAUAAAAAACAGUAAACAAAAAAGUAACCAAAAAAAAAGAGCAAAUAAUGUUUUGCCCCAAAAAAGUUAAUGAUCGAAAAAGUAAAAUAAAUAAAUGAAUAUAGAAAAUGAUCUGAUAGUGGGACCCCAAAGUCCAUUUGUCAAAAAAUUAAAGACCUCAUAUUAAAAUUUUACAUAUACAAACUAAAAGCAUCUCGUCUCAUCUCCCACUUCUAGAAGGUUGUACUACUAAUUAGGCCUCCAGGAAACAGAGAAGUGUGGUACAAAAAUUAAUUCGUCUGUCUGCUCUCUUUCUAUCCCUAUAAAAUUCAAUUCUCUCAAUAAUUUCGCAUGUGAUUUGCCCCACUGUGUCUGUACAUAGUAUGUCCUCCUACUUUGCAUCCUUGGAUGAAUACUGGACCUUUAAAUUGAAUCCAGUUCCUUGCUUUCCAGAUGUAAUACACCAUAGUCCCCCAUAAUGCAGCUGCCGCUUCCUUCUUAAACUUCUUCCAAUGCUCUCUUCUAAUCAGCUCAAAUGUAGUCUUCACAUCUCCUGCGGACAGUGAAAUAUUGGAUUAUUAUAUGAGUUCAGCUCUUACCAGUGCAGCAUAUAUAGCCACAGUCAACAAAUAUGUGGCUACUACGCUCUCCAUUGUAGAUGAUUGAAAUAGGCGGCAGUUGACAUUUUCUAUGUACAUGUUCAUAUGUAGUAAUCUUUCCUUCGUAAGCAAUCUGUUCAGCAAGGUAACCACUAGUAAUUGAAUACUUUAGCAGUAAGGAUGAAUUGCCCCCAUGCAUCAGUGUUUCAUUCUAUCCCUUAUAAAAUUUAUUUUCCUCCAACACCAGCUACUUGUUAUUUUCGUUUGUACUUUGGGUACACAGAAUCAGUAUAUGCAGAACAAUAACUUCAACUAGAGUUCAAGUAUAAACAAGAACACAAUGAAGUAUAUCAAAUACUCUCUAACACAAGAUCGAAAUGACCUUUUCAAGAGGUGUAUUUUAUUUUUUCAGAAAUUAAGAUGAAACAGAAAAUAGCCAAGUCAUCCGAAUUCACGAAGUUUCUUUAAGGAAAUAAUUUCCCUCACUGUACCCGAGGUUAUAGAAUUUUUCCUCCUAGAAUAAAAUGGCUAAAUAGAUCAAUUGUAGCGGUACCUCAAACGGUUGGAAUAUCUUCGAACGCACAGGACGUUUUGAUUGAUCACAUAGAGUAAUUUGGAAGACAAGAAGUAAUUUUGUAUUCUGAAAUUUUCAUAUCAAAACCUGUGGAUGAAAGCAGGUUUAUAUAGCCAUAACAUGUCUCUUCUGAAAAUAGGCAAUGGUUCACUCCAAAGGUUACACCUUUGCUGUAAGUUCAUGUCUGUUCAUCAAAGAUUGCAUCUUUUCCUGAAUAGUCAUCUCAUUUCAUGAAUCAGUGUGUCACUUCAUUGAAGGAUUACAUCCUUCUGAAGCAUCAUUUCGAACCAUUGCAACUCAGUUUAAAACAAUAUAUCAUUUCUGAAGCACCAGUUCAAAAACAAUGCAUCAGUUCACUUGAAACAGUGCAACUGUUACUGCAUCUAUAUAUAAAUGGAGAUCCUAAACACUGCAGAAAAAUUUUACUGCGUUUUUCCUUGGCAUUCUUCGGAAUUCAAAUAAAGUUUGUCCAAAAAAAUAGAUCUCAUCGAUCAAUCAUUAUCCAAAUCCAAAGCCAAGCGAGCAACGAUGAAAAUGGCGCAAGACAUCUAUUAUUUCUUGCCUCACUUGCCAUGUGGAAUAAAUGUUCUUGAUUAUAAAUACUUUCAAGUACUCUUCUUCCACCAAUGUGGGAGAAAGAGUAAAUUAUCUAAUUUGGAAGUACACUUUUCAUUUUAGUGUCUCCUUCCCCUCCAUCAUUUUACUCUCCAUUUUUUCAUUCACACUUCUUUCAUAUACUAUGAACCCAACACUACUAUCUGCUGGCUUCUGUGUCCAGAUAGUGUCAGUUUUGAUACAUAUUUCGGGUGCCUACUUCAGCCCCAAAGACUCCUUCUUUACAACUACUUUCCACAAAACCUUGCCUACCGAUGCCAAGUUCCAAUUCUCACACAAUAUUCAAACCACCCUGCUUUUUGGAGACACUUUAUCCCAAGCUACUAGUGCUACCUUCCUUUUCCCUCUAUAAUACCCCACAAGUAAUCUCUAAAUGUCUUAUCUACCUCCUUCACUAUACUAGGGGGAAGGAGAAAAACUGCAUUUUAUUCAUCCAUCUGUCAAGACCGGUUUUACCCCAUACUACCAAAGCGGCCAGCAAAAUUUUGACCAUACUGCUUUGAGCAAAUCUUCCUGAGCAAAAUAAAUGGUCUGAAAUUUCCACUUUCUUAGAGUGGGGCAAGCAAUACAAGAAUCUUGAUUGGAAGAUUAUAUCAAAAUUUUGAGACCUUUUCAUCAGUUGGUACCCUGUCGUAUGAAGCUCCCCACCUUACAAAUGUCAUCUUGAAAAAUAUUAUUGUUUAUGCCACAUUUUUUGGGCACUUACUUGAUUGUUCUUUCUUCUAAAUUAGGAGCUCCCAUGCUGAGGCUAGUGAGAACCUGCCAUUGAUGUUAGCCAACCCUAGUACUCUAUCUGGAGCUGCAUGGAAUAAGGUAAUGUGGUGUUGUGCUACCAUGCCAUAUUGCCAAGUGACAUUGUCAAGUGCCUCCUUAAGAAGGGAUAUUUCCGGCUUUUGCUCCAUCAGGUAAAUGACUAUAGAGCAUUCCCGUUUUUGUUCAGUUGUCAUACCAGAAUGAUGUUUUUACCUUUCCAGGCAGGCAUGCUAUAUUUUCCUUAACUUCAUGCUUUAAGUCACAGAGGGCUCUCCAGCCGUGUGACUGUUGCCCUGAUAAUUUUCAUGGAUCGUACAUGUGAAAUAUUUGGUUUGGGUGGAAAUGAAUUGACUCUCAUCUAAGAGAAAACACACUGCUAGUUAAUUAUAUUAUGUCGCAGCAUUAAUGGAGACACUCUUUAGAUGCCCGGUCCCCUUGCCAGCCACUAGAACUUGGGAGGGCAAUUUCUGUUGAUCCUUGACAAGCCAAAACAAUUUCCAAAUUAAUCAUUUAAAAAAAAAAAACAUUACAGAGCCAAGAAGCCAUCAUCUAACACAAGAUCUAGCAACACUUAGUAUAGAAAAUUCACAAUCUUUCAUUGAUAUAAACAAUUGAAAGAGCAAUUACACGAGAACAUCAAAUUAGACAUUAGAGUCAAUGAGUUCUCCAUUCACUAACUCUCUGUAAGCAGCAACAGGCCAGAUGAAGCCUCUCCAGACGAGCCUGUUAGCCAAUGGAACAUCAAUGAUGAUCUCCUUCAUUGUUGGCUUCUUCUCAUCUCUUAUUGCAAUCAAGUAGCUCCUUCCUACCCACCCAAUCCAUCCAGCAAUGUACAAGAAGAGGAUCCCAGGAGUGAUGAACUCACCCCAGUGCCUCUGGUCUCCACUCACUAUCAGGUGUGGCAGUCCAUCCGAUCCGCACAACAGUCCUUGUUUCGCAUAGUUGUCAAAUCUGCAAUGUCAAUAGGUGAGUGACUUUGUAAGUGAAAUAAAACAUGGACUCGAGUAUCAAGGAGUUGGAAUCAAAUGGAAUGUUCUAUUUUUCUAUGUUUACUUAGUCUAUGUCAAUGACUUAUGCAAGGAAAAGUUGAAAAUCUGUUACAAAAUAACUUGCCAUUCUUUCAUAAGCAAAUUUACUUCGUGCGCUCCUAUAGGGAGAAGGUGUUGAAGGUGGCCUCGUUUUCACACUUUUGGUUGGAUAAACGGAAGCCAUCAUCUAACACAAGAUCUAGCAACACUUAGUAUAGAAAAUUCACAAUCUUUCAUUGAUAUAAACAAUUGAAAGAGCAAUUACACGAGAACAUCAAAUUAGACAUUAGAGUCAAUGAGUUCUCCAUUCACUAACUCUCUGUAAGCAGCAACAGGCCAGAUGAAGCCUCUCCAGACGAGCCUGUUAGCCAAUGGAACAUCAAUGAUGAUCUCCUUCAUUGUUGGCUUCUUCUCAUCUCUUAUUGCAAUCAAGUAGCUCCUUCCUACCCACCCAAUCCAUCCAGCAAUGUACAAGAAGAGGAUCCCAGGAGUGAUGAACUCACCCCAGUGCCUCUGGUCUCCACUCACUAUCAGGUGUGGCAGUCCAUCCGAUCCGCACAACAGUCCUUGUUUCGCAUAGUUGUCAAAUCUGCAAUGUCAAUAGGUGAGUGACUUUGUAAGUGAAAUAAAACAUGGACUCGAGUAUCAAGGAGUUGGAAUCAAAUGGAAUGUUCUAUUUUUCUAUGUUUACUUAGUCUAUGUCAAUGACUUAUGCAAGGAAAAGUUGAAAAUCUGUUACAAAAUAACUUGCCAUUCUUUCAUAAGCAAAUUUACUUCGUGCGCUCCUAUAGGGAGAAGGUGUUGAAGGUGGCCUCGUUUUCACACUUUUGGUUGGAUAAACGGAGGACUAAACGAGUUUUUAUGAGCAUUAUCGGGUUCUAGAAUAUAUAUCAAAAAGGAAUUCUACAUUUUUAUAUUUCGGAGCUUUUUAAUUUUAAGCUUCUUAUCUUACUCGUAUGCUAUCAUAACUAUAAAAAUGUAAUGUCUGAGAUCACAAUUCUAAGAAUACUGAUAAGUGAGACUUGAGCACCUCCACCAAACCGGUAAGUGGGAUCACUGUUAUUCUCACCAAAAGAAGAAUCUAAGAAUACUAGUCUUUAAAGAAGAAAAAUUUGUACACAAUCAAAUACAUCCACAUAAAGUGUAAGAAUAUGAUUAAAUAGAAAAUGAUUACUAAGGACAAAGCAAGGAAAAUUUAGCAUAUAAGAAAGAAGGGAACUUUCAAGAUUCUUGCAAAAUUUAAAAGAAAAGGUAACAAAGACAAACCUGCGCUUAGUUUUCUCAAUAGUGGCAUUAAUAGCAAGUGCAGGAGCACUAUCAGGUGCAUACAGUUUCAAAGAAUUCUCAAGCUUCUUGAUCUGUUGCUUCUCCCUCUUAGCAAACUGCUUUGACUCCUUGCAAGGUGUGAGCCCAGAGAUGUCAGCAGAAGCUGGAAGCACUGGUGCUGACAAAAGAAUUGAAGACAAAGCAAGUGCUGCUGAGAAUGCUUUUAAUGAGGAAGAACUCUCAUCUGUCUUAGUAGAAGCAGGGGUCUGGUUUGAAGAGCAUACUAUGGUUGAAGUU
RNAcentral lists this long non-coding RNA (21659 nucleotides) under Capsicum annuum. Its description in RNAcentral is "long non-coding RNA (CANN_LNC003247)". The record is from RNAcentral. Lineage: Eukaryota; Viridiplantae; Streptophyta; Magnoliopsida; Solanales; Solanaceae.